GGAGGUGAUAUGAUCCUAGACUAGUCUCUCAAAGCACUUCAUGAUGACAGAAGUGAGUGCUAUGGGGCGGUAGUCGUUUAUGUCAGUUACCUUAGCUUUCUUGGGAACAGGAACAAUGGUGGCCCUCUUGAAGCAUGUGGGAACUGCAGACUGGGAUAAGGAUUGAUUGAAUAUGUCUGUAAACACACCAGCCAGCUGGUCGGCGCAUGCUCUGAGGAAGCGGCUAGGGAUGCCGUCUGGGCCGGCAGCCUUGCAAGGGUUAACAUGUUUAAAUGUUUUACUCACGUUGGCUGCGGUGAAGGAGAGCCCACAGGUUUUGGUAGCGGGCUGUGUUAGUGGCACUGUAUUGUCCUCAAAGCGAGCAAAGAAGUUGUUUAGUUUGUCUGGGAGGAAGACAUCGGGGCCCGCGACGGGGCUGGUUUUCUUUUUGUAGUCCGUGAUUGACUGUAGACCCUGCCACAUACCUCUUGUGUCUGAGACAUUGAAUUGCGACUCUACUUUGUCUCUAUACUGACGCUUAGCUUGUUUAAUUGCCUUGCGGAGGGAAUAGCUACACUGUUUGUAUUCGGUCAUGUUUUCGGUCGCCUUGCUCUGAUUAAAAGCAGGGGUUCGCAAUUUCAGUUUUGCACGAAUGCUGCCAUCAAUCCACGGUUUCUGGUCAGGGAAGGUUUUAAUGGUCGCUGUGGGUACAACAUCACCGAUGCACUUGCUAAUAAACUCGCUCACCGAAUCCGCGUAUACAUCAAUGUUGUUGUUCGACGCUGUCCGGAACACAUCCCAGUCCACGUGAUCGAAGCAAUCUUGAAGCGUUGAAUCAGAUUGGUCUGACUGGGCAUUGAACAAACCUGAGCACGGGCGUUUCCUGUUUUAGUUUCUAUCUAUAGGCUGGGAGCAACAAAAUGGAGUAGUGGUCAGAUUUUCUGAAAGGAGAGCGAGGGAGGGCUUUGUAUGUGUCGCGGAAGUUAGAGAAACAAAGGUCCAGAUAUGCUGCUAAAAUUUAGGGAGCCUUGUUUUUAGAUGAAUUUUGUUGAAAUCCCCAGCUACAAUAUAUGCAGCUUCAGGAUAUGUCGUUUCCAGUUUACAUAGAGUCCAAUAAAGUUAUUUCAGGGCCGUCGAGGUGUCUGCUUUAUAAUCACGACUGUGAUUCACGACUGUGAUUAUAAUCAAAGACAAUUCUCUUGGUAGAUAAUGCGGUUGGCAUUUGAUUGUAAGGAAUUCUAGGUCAAGUGAACAAAAGGACUUGAGUUCCUGUAUUUUGUUAUGAUCACACCAUGACUCGUUAACCAUAAGGCAUACACCCCCGCCCUUCUUCUUACAAGAGAGAUGUUUGUUUCUGUCGGCGCGAUGCGUGAAGAAACCAGGUGACUGUACCGACUCUGAUAACGUCUCCUGAGUGAGCCAUGUUUCCAUGAAACAGAGAAUGUUAAAAUCUCUGAUGUCUCUCUGGAGGGCAACCCAGCUUUGAUUUCAUCUACCUUGUUGUCAAGAGACUGGACAUGGUUUAGUAGCAUACUCGGGAGCGGUGGGCGAUGUGCCCGUCUACGGAACCUCGGAACCUGACCAGAAGACCGCUCCGUCUGCACCUUCUGCAGCGUCAAUGUUUUGGGUCGCCUGCUGGGAUCCGAUCCAUUGUCCUGGGUGGUGGACCAAACAGAGGAUCCGCUUCGGGAAAGUUGUAUUCCUGGUCAUAAUGUGGAAGGGAACCAUGAAGAGGAGCUUGGAGUGGGCAAGGGGGAGGAUGAUAAAACAGCAGAGAAGACCUGAUUCAUCAAGUAUCAGUUAAUGCUGGUGAUUCUCACCUGGUUGGCAUGCACAACACAAGCAAGACACUUCAAUCCGAAUGUUUGACGUCAGGCAAAACGUCUUCAGCUACCGUAAGGUGGAGAGCAGCUGGUUGGAUUUUUGACUGCAGUGUCUGUGUGGGUGUACCAGGAAAGGACAUUAGAAGUUAGGUCCCCGUGAUAUAUAAGCUUCUUACCAUCCCCACUGUAGCCCAGUCAAUAUCGAUUUUAACAACUGGAACAAUACAUAUCGUGCAGCACAUGGUAGCAAAGAUUUCACCGGACCAACUCCAGUUUACCUAUAGUCCAAAGAAAUGUCAAUUAUACAUUUUUACAUACGUAGGAGUGCAUUUUCAUUUAUAGCUCUGCUUUCAAGACCAUCCUGACCCACAAACUGGUUAGCAGACUAAGGGCUCUGGGUGAAAACCCUGUAAUAACAAAUUCAAUUUUUAACAUUAUCACAAGAAUGUGUAUCCCCAGAAUGGACCAACACCUAAACAUGCUGACGACACUACCAUGGUACACCUGAUCCCCAGUGAUCAUGAGUACAUGAAGAAGCUGUGGGACCUGACAUAAAGGUGAUAGAACAACAGUCUCAGCAUAAGCAAAACAAAGUAGAUGGUGAUACUUGAGCAUUCUCCCAUCCACUGUACAGUCGUGGCCAAAAGCUUUGAGAAUGACACAAAUAUGAAUUUUCACAAAGUCUGCUGACUCAGUUUGUAUGAUGGCAAUUUGCAUAUACUCCAGAACGUUAUGAAGAGUGAUCAGAUUAAUUGCAAUUAAUUGCAAAGUCCCUCUUUGCCAUGCAAAUGAACUGAAUCCCAAAAAUACAUUUCUACUGCAUUUCAGCCCUGCCACAAAAGGACCAGCUGACAUCAUGUCAGUGAUUCCUUCGUUAACACAAGUGUGAGUGUUGACGAGGACAAGGCUGGAGAUCACUCUCCAGUGAGAGGCACAGGGCAAGGAUAUUGCUACCAGUAAGAUUGCACCUAAAUCAACCAGGAAUAUCCUUGCCUGUGAAGCCCUUUUUGUGCAAAGCAAUCAUGACGGCACGUGUUUCCUUGCAGGAAACCAUGAUUGACAGUGGAAAAACAAUGAUUCCAAGCACCACCCUCCUUUUGAAGCUUCCAGUUUGUUAUUCGAACUCAAUCAGCAUGACAGAGUGAUCUCCAUCCUUGUCCUCAUCAACACUCACACCUUUAAGCCUUUAACCAACGAUGCAGUUUUAAAAAAAAUAUUCGGAAAUAAAAGUAAUAAUUAAAGAGCAGCAGUAAAAUAACAAUAGAGAGAGGCUAUAUACAGGGGAUACUGGUACAGAGUCAAUGUGCGGUGGCACCGGUUAGUCGAGUUAAUAUAUACAUGUAGGUAGAGAUCAAGUGACUAUGCAUAGAUAAUAGAGUAGCACCAAAUAAUCUGGGUAGCCAUUCGAUUAGAUGUUCAGUAGUCUUAUGGCUUGGGGGUAGAAGCUUUUUCGAACCCUCUUGGACCUAGACUUGGCGCUAAGGUACCGCUAGCCGUGCAGUAGCAGAUAGAACUGUAGCUGUGGAUCCCACUGGCAAUCCCAGCCUAGGAAUGCUGAAACCCCCGAAGUGAAAAUGAAAACCUUCUCCAUGGUUAAAGGGACAUUAAAGUCCAUAAGUAACACUCAUUGAAGAACAAAAUACUCUAACUGAAAGUCAUUUGGGAUUAAAUAUAUCUAUUAUGUUCUUAUGGGGCCCAUGGAAGAAUAAGGCUAUAAAAUGGCUACCCAACAUGACCGCUUCCUGUGCCUCGUCAACAGUUUGUGCUAACUGGAUCUUAGUUCAAUAAACAGUGCUUUGGGACAAAUUAGCAAAACAACAAACUGAAUAUCCCUUAAAAAAGAUUGCCUGCCAACAAAAGGGAACCAAAUCCAUGUGGGAAAGUAUUCAUGAACAACCACAACCCUAAUAUUUUUUCCAAACUGCAAAUGAACAGCAAAUGAACAGUAACAUAACAUCCAUCACAGUAUAAAGUUACUUACCUUCUCCAACUUCUCUCUGAAGUCAUAUUCCGCAAUUUCUUUCAGUUCUGGCACAGGAGGUUGUAGGCCACACACUUGCCUGUAUAGCCUCUCUGAAAAAUUGUGGCUCUACACCCCCAUGUACCAGACAGCAAUCAUGCGGCCCACCUGCUUGUAUACGCCAUCAUAGAGUGCUGUCACACAGAAGACAAACUGUAAAUAAAGGACACAUUAAAUAACAUGCAAAAAUCAAAUGUCUUACUCAAGUCAUACAUAAUGCCAUAAACACGUGUCUUUGUUGGUGUAAAAGUGUAACUCACCUUGAGAGUUGUAAGAAAGGCUUUUUUGCUAAUCAGGUCCCUCAAAUAUUGCAGAGGAAUGGAUGUUACUCAUUAGCAGUCAAAUCUCUUGAGGGACCACCCUCAUCAGCUGCCCCUUUUCCUUCAGCAUCCCUAAAAACCAUGUCUAUUUUUUCCUCCGGAUUAAAGCGGGCUCUCUUAAAGCCUCUCACUCCACAAACAUAAACGUUGUCCCUCAUCACGUUAAUUUGGUUGGCAUCAGGGACAAAAGCAGAGUCAAUCUUGCUGCUCAUUAACUUCAGCAGUGUUUGGAGGUCAACAAACAAAAAAGAGACAUUCAGAAUAACAAAGCUCACAUACUUCCCACAAUUCAUCUGUAAUAAGGCAUUGAAUUAUUUACAGGGAUGACGUACUCAUUGUCAUCACCAACAUCAACAGAAGAGGGGGGUGAAGUUGGAUGACAAGCCUCAGGGAAUGGUGGAUGGGGGCCACAGGAAGUGGUGCAGAAGAUGUGGGGGGGGCACAGGAAUAGGUUCUGCCACAAGUGUAGCCUUGUUUGUAGAAGUAGUCGGUAAAAGGUCAUUUAAAGGCUUAUACAUUUCAAAAACAUGGAGAAAGCAAUAAAGCUGUCAAACAUGA
Molecule: long non-coding RNA, 4700 nt
Organism: Oncorhynchus kisutch (coho salmon)
Lineage: Eukaryota; Metazoa; Chordata; Actinopteri; Salmoniformes; Salmonidae
Exons: 3
Source: RefSeq, a predicted model, not a curated record